GACGAACGCUGGCGGCGUGCUUAACACAUGCAAGUCGAACGGAAAGGCCCUGCUUUUGUGGGGUGCUCGAGUGGCGAACGGGUGAGUAACACGUGAGUAACCUGCCCUUGACUUUGGGAUAACUUCAGGAAACUGGGGCUAAUACCGGAUAGGAGCUCCUGCUGCAUGGUGGGGGUUGGAAAGUUUCGGCGGUUGGGGAUGGACUCGCGGCCUAUCAGCUUGUUGGUGGGGUAGUGGCUUACCAAGGCUUUGACGGGUAGCCGGCCUGAGAGGGUGACCGGCCACAUUGGGACUGAGAUACGGCCCAGACUCCUACGGGAGGCAGCAGUGGGGAAUAUUGCACAAUGGGCGGAAGCCUGAUGCAGCAACGCCGCGUGCGGGAUGACGGCCUUCGGGUUGUAAACCGCCUUCGCCUGUGACGAAGCGUGAGUGACGGUAAUGGGUAAAGAAGCACCGGCUAACUACGUG
RNAcentral lists this ribosomal RNA (468 nucleotides) under uncultured bacterium. Its description in RNAcentral is "partial 16S ribosomal RNA". It matches the Rfam family "Bacterial small subunit ribosomal RNA", at positions 28 to 507 of the family's 1533-position model. The record is from RNAcentral.